RNAcentral lists this ribosomal RNA (497 nucleotides) under uncultured bacterium. Its description in RNAcentral is "partial 16S ribosomal RNA". It matches the Rfam family "Bacterial small subunit ribosomal RNA", at positions 28 to 507 of the family's 1533-position model. The record is from RNAcentral.
GAUGAACGCUGGCGGCGUGCCUAAUACAUGCAAGUCGAACGAACAGAUUAGGCGCUUGCUCGGUGGACGGUAGACGGGGACGUGAGAGCAAGUCACGGACCCCUAAGUUAGAUGUCUGGUAGCGCGUGGUAACACAGGAGCGCAUACGCUAUAACAUCUAAAAUGGGAUGGUUCCAUGAUGAAUGAUUGUUAGGCGAUCAUUCAUCGAUGACCUGGCGCCUUAUUAGCUAGUUGGUAAGGGAACGGCUUACCAAGGCGACGAUACGUAGCAGACCUGAGAGGGUGACCGGCCACACUGGAACUGAGACACGGCCCAGACUCCUACGGGAGGCAGCAGUGGGGAAUUUUGGGCAAUGGGCGAAAGCCUGACGGAGCAACGCCGCGUGAGUGAUGAAGGGUUUCGGCUCGUAAAACUCUUUUGUUAGGGAAGAACCGAGUUGGAAUUAAAAGUUCACCUCUUGACGGUACCUGAUCAGAAAGCCACGGCUAACUACGUG